Molecule: ribosomal RNA, 200 nt
Filed under: uncultured bacterium
Lineage: Bacteria
Description: partial 16S ribosomal RNA
Rfam family: Bacterial small subunit ribosomal RNA
Source: RNAcentral
AGAGUUUGAUCAUGGCUCAGAACGAACGCUGGCGGCGUGCCUAACACAUGCAAGUCGAGCGCGAAUGGAGCAAUCCUAGUAGAGCGGCGCACGGGUGCGUAACACGUGGAUAAUCUGCCUGGAAGACCGGAAUAACCUGCCGAAAGGCUGGCUAAUACCGGAUAAGCCCACAGGGACUUCGGUCCUCGAGGGAAAAGGUG